Molecule: ribosomal RNA, 638 nt
Filed under: Chlamydomonadales sp. LBA 40
Lineage: Eukaryota; Viridiplantae; Chlorophyta; Chlorophyceae; Chlamydomonadales
Description: eukaryotic LSU rRNA
Rfam family: 5.8S ribosomal RNA (bases 211-364)
Source: RNAcentral
UCCACACAACCGUGAAUACGUACUGUCGGCCCUGCUAGGGCACAAGUCCUAGCAGCUGAGUGUCUGGGUUCUCGUAAUUCAGGCCGCUCAGGUCGCGCUGCAUUGCCUUUGGGCAUGUGGGGCGUCGGUCUUUAUCUAACCAACAACACCAAACCAAACCUAAUGAAAAAUCGAGGGCUCGGCUUAGAGCUGACUCUCACCAACCAAGACAACUCUCAACAACGGAUAUCUUGGCUCCUCGAAUGAUGAAGAACGCAGCGAAAUGCGAUACUUAGUGUGAAUUGCAGAAAUACGUGAAUCAUCAAGUCUUUGAACGCAUAUUGCGCUCGAGGCUUCGGCCAAGAGCAUGUCUGCCUCAGCGUCGGGUUAAUACUCGUCUCAUGCUCCCUCUGGGGAGUAAUGAAACGGACCUGGCCGUCUCGGCUAAAUUCUCUCAGAAUUUAGCCGGGUCUGCUGAAGUGUAGAGAUUGAUGCAUGGACCCGCUAAGGGCCUCAACUGGGUAGGCAAUUCGUUGCUAAUGCUUUAGUUGGUGGUCUGGAUUCGUGCUGGUCAAUCCGAACCAGGAACUCUUGCCCUGUGCGAGAGCUUAACCCUCAUUAUCUCGACCUGAGCUCAGGCAAAGCCACCCGCUGAACUU